CGGAAUCUACCUUUUCGUGGGGGAUAACGUAGGGAAACUUACGCUAAUACCGCAUACGACCUACGGGUGAAAGUGGGGGACCGCAAGGCCUCACGCGAUUAGAUGAGCCGAUGUCCGAUUAGCUAGUUGGCGGGGUAAUGGCCCACCAAGGCGACGAUCGGUAGCUGGUCUGAGAGGAUGAUCAGCCACACUGGAACUGAGACACGGUCCAGACUCCUACGGGAGGCAGCAGUGGGGAAUAUUGGACAAUGGGCGCAAGCCUGAUCCAGCCAUACCGCGUGGGUGAAGAAGGCCUUCGGGUUGUAAAGCCCUUUUGUUGGGAAAGAAAUCCUAUCGGUUAAUAACCGGUGGGGAUGACGGUACCCAAAGAAUAAGCACCGGCUAACUUCGUGCCAGCAGCCGCGGUAAUACGAAGGGUGCAAGCGUUACUCGGAAUUACUGGGCGUAAAGCGUGCGUAGGUGGUGGUUUAAGUCUGCUGUGAAAGCCCUGGGCUCAACCUGGGAAUUGCAGUGGAUACUGGAUCACUAGAGUGUGGUAGAGGGAUGCGGAAUUUCUGGU
Molecule: ribosomal RNA, 559 nt
Filed under: uncultured bacterium
Lineage: Bacteria
Description: bacterial SSU rRNA
Rfam family: Bacterial small subunit ribosomal RNA
Source: RNAcentral